Molecule: long non-coding RNA, 980 nt
Filed under: Columba livia (rock pigeon)
Lineage: Eukaryota; Metazoa; Chordata; Aves; Columbiformes; Columbidae
Description: partial uncharacterized LOC102094831, transcript variant X1
Source: RNAcentral
UGUUUCUCCCCGUUCCCCCCGGUACAGACUGCCUCGGAAAGAUCUGGGGCCCUCCGCGUUCGGGAAAGAUUCAGAUACCACAGGAUAUUCAGAUACUGGGCUGCUUACUGGUUAUGGAGACAUAAAAAAAUGCAGUUGUAAAUGGCAACAAGUCAAACUGGGCCUCUGACUAUAAAGGUGUGAAGACCACUCUCUCCAGGGCAAGUAAGAAGUAGGACAGCACAGCCAGGAACAAGAAGGCAGGCAGACAGACACAGGACCGUCUUCCUUUCACUGAAGGAGCCUCAUGGGACCAACAGCCCCUGCUGAAGUCACCAGGACUGCCGUAGACUGGCACAGUGCAUAAGGACGUCAAGCGCUGACCUUUAAGUUCCCACAGCUAAUGACCGGUGACAGUACCAAGAAUCUACAGCGAGUACCAAGAAAGAAACACAAACCGUAGAAAACUUUUUGUUCUCAAUGUCUUCAUUUAAAGUGCCUUGUAUUGUGAGCAAAUUAGUUCAAAAGGUAAAGGAACUUCUGGAACUUAAAACAUUUAAAUUAAAGGACAACACAAUAUUCAUUUGACGUAACAGGUUAUUUCUGGAGCAUGAUCAAGUUAAUGAGUAUAUCAGUAACAUUCUUUAAUAUUACUUCCUCUUAUAUUUAGGUAUUUCUUUGGCCAACUUCACAAAGAUUUUCUUAGUCCUUUAAGUGGUUCUUUGAAAUUUUGGCAUUAACACCUGCUAUUCUUAGAUGCCCUAGCAGCGUGCAAGAUUUUAAGGCUCUGUGCUUACUGUACCCUUUAUUUAACAGGCUUUUAGAAAUGGAGACACUUCUUACAGAAGCUUGAGAUAAAAAUUUAUUUUAAGUUACUGUACGCCCAGUUCAUUAAAGUUGUAUUUAGGAACAGAAUUUAGGUCUUAGUAGAUAAGAGACACUUUGUAUGUUUUACCUAUAUUGACUGAAAAACAAUUUAAGUACCAUGUUAGCUCAACCAG